Non-coding RNA from Desulfuromonadaceae bacterium GWC2_58_13, 119 nucleotides. Lineage: Bacteria; Pseudomonadati; Thermodesulfobacteriota; Desulfuromonadia; Desulfuromonadales; Desulfuromonadaceae. The record is from Rfam.
UGUCCCUUUUAAGUUAAUCCAGAGAGGUUAGCAAAGGUGGCGAUAAAACAGAGAUCCAUAGUUGGAGAUUAUCCAAGUACAGAUACCUUUUCGCUUGCCGGCGGAGAGGUAUUUUUUUA